AUAACACAAAAGAACAGACAAACUUUAGCCUACUGGCUGGCCUGUAAACUCCCAAGUGCAAGGCAGUGGUGCUGUAUGAGAGGCAAGAUUUUUGCUUAACAGUGUAAGAGUAUCUAUAUCUAGCCCAAUGAGUGGAGUGUGAUAGUUAUCACUGCUACAAUU
Molecule: small nucleolar RNA, 162 nt
Filed under: Tupaia belangeri (northern tree shrew)
Lineage: Eukaryota; Metazoa; Chordata; Mammalia; Scandentia; Tupaiidae
Source: RNAcentral